Molecule: ribosomal RNA, 624 nt
Filed under: uncultured Lactarius
Lineage: Eukaryota; Fungi; Basidiomycota; Agaricomycetes; Russulales; Russulaceae
Description: eukaryotic LSU rRNA
Rfam family: 5.8S ribosomal RNA (bases 202-355)
Source: RNAcentral
GGGGCAUGCGAGGGCUGUCGCUGACUCAAAGUCGUGCACGCCCGAGUGUGUCGCCUCACAUAAUAAUCCAUCUCACCCUUUGUGCAUCACCGCGUGGGCACCCCUUUGGGAUCAUCUCGGAGGGGGCUCGCGUUUUCACACAAAACCCCCCUUUUAAAAGUGUAGAAUGACCUCAUUUAUGCGCUAACCCGCAAUCAAUACAACUUUCAACAACGGAUCUCUUGGCUCUCGCAUCGAUGAAGAACGCAGCGAAAUGCGAUACGCAAUGUGAAUUGCAGAAUUCAGUGAAUCAUCGAAUCUUUGAACGCACCUUGCGCCCCCUGGUAUUCCGAGGGGCACACCCGUUUGAGUGUCGUGAAAACCUCAACCUCCUUGGUUUCUUCUGGAGACCAAAGCAGGCUUGGACUUUGGAGGCCUUUGCUGGCACCUCUCGCCAGCUCCUCUUAAAUGAAUUAGCAGGGUCCUCUUUGCUGAUCCUCGACGUGUGAUAAGAUGUUUCCAUGUCUUGNUUUCUGGCUCUGUCACCUUUGGGACCCGCUUCUAACCGUCUUCAACCUUGCGUUGAGACAACGUUCGAGCAUGUCUCCCUUCUCGGGAAGCUCCCUCGACCCCACGAACCCUUGA